This 404-nucleotide long non-coding RNA is filed under the name Mytilus galloprovincialis (Mediterranean mussel). The record is from RNAcentral. Lineage: Eukaryota; Metazoa; Mollusca; Bivalvia; Mytilida; Mytilidae.
CACAUAAAUACCAUCAAAAAUGAACUAAGCACCACGGGAGGUGGCUUCCCUCCCAUCACUCCAACAAACGGAUAAAAGAGUCUAAAAAAACCCUUUGGGGGUCUAACAUAGUUUUGUAAGUCCAUUGGUCAAUAUGCACCUGCGGUUCAAUCUAUAAGUUCAUGGGGUCUUUUAGGGUAUAUUUCAUUAAAGAAAAAUAUAAGCACCACCGAAAACGGACUUAGCACCACGGGAGGUGGCUUCCCUCCCAUUAGUCCAACAGACAAGAAUAUUAGUGUAUAACACUCUUUGUGAGUCCUAGUUGGCUUGUAAGGCUCAUUGGUCCAGAUGCACCUUGGGUCCAAUCUACAAGUCCAUAGGGUCCUUUAGCGUAUAUAUAAUUAAGAAAAAUAUAAGCACCACCG